RNAcentral lists this ribosomal RNA (373 nucleotides) under uncultured organism. Its description in RNAcentral is "bacterial SSU rRNA". It matches the Rfam family "Bacterial small subunit ribosomal RNA", at positions 526 to 896 of the family's 1533-position model. The record is from RNAcentral.
CAGAGGUCCCGAGCGUUGUUCGGAUUCACUGGGCGUAAAGGGUGCGUAGGUGGUGAGGUAAGUCGGAUGUGAAAUCUCCGGGCUCAACCCGGAAAUGGCAUUGGAAACUACCUUGCUAGGAGGAUUUGAGGGGGGAUUGGAAUACUUGGUGUAGCAGUGAAAUGCGUAGAUAUCAAGUGGAACACCAGUGGCGAAGGCGAAUCCCUGGAAAAUACCUGACACUGAGGCACGAAAGCUAGGGGAGCAAACAGGAUUAGAUACCCUGGUAGUCCUAGCCCUAAACGGUGCUUGCUUGCUGUAAGAGGAAUCGACCCCUCUUGUGGCGGAGCUAACGCGUUAAGCAAGCCGCCUGGGAAGUACGGUCGCAAGAUUA